AUACAGAGGGUGCGAGCGUUAAUCGGAAUUACUGGGCGUAAAGCGCGCGUAGGCGGCUACUUAAGUCAGAUGUGAAAUCCCCGGGCUCAACCUGGGAACUGCAUCUGAUACUGGGUAGCUAGAGUUUAGGAGAGGGAAGUAGAAUUUCAGGUGUAGCGGUGAAAUGCAUAGAGAUCUGAAGGAAUACCAGUGGCGAAGGCGGCUUCCUGGCCUAAAACUGACGCUGAGGUGCGAAAGCGUGGGUAGCAAACGGGAUUAGAAACCCGGGUAGUCC
RNAcentral lists this ribosomal RNA (274 nucleotides) under uncultured bacterium. RNAcentral describes it as "partial 16S ribosomal RNA". It matches the Rfam family "Bacterial small subunit ribosomal RNA", at positions 523 to 796 of the family's 1533-position model. The record is from RNAcentral.